Molecule: transfer RNA, 74 nt
Organism: Micromonas sp.
Lineage: Eukaryota; Viridiplantae; Chlorophyta; Mamiellophyceae; Mamiellales; Mamiellaceae
Rfam family: tRNA
About the family: Transfer RNA (tRNA) molecules are approximately 80 nucleotides in length. Their secondary structure includes four short double-helical elements and three loops (D, anti-codon, and T loops). Further hydrogen bonds mediate the characteristic L-shaped molecular structure. tRNAs have two regions of fundamental functional importance: the anti-codon, which is responsible for specific mRNA codon recognition, and the 3' end, to which the tRNAs corresponding amino acid is attached (by aminoacyl-tRNA synthetases). tRNAs cope with the degeneracy of the genetic code in two manners: having more than one tRNA (with a specific anti-codon) for a particular amino acid; and 'wobble' base-pairing, i.e. permitting non-standard base-pairing at the 3rd anti-codon position.
Source: Rfam
GGGCCUAUAGCUCAGUUGGUUAGAGUGUACGCCUGAUAAGCGUAAGGUCAGUAGUUCAAGUCUACUUAGGCCCA